Molecule: ribosomal RNA, 516 nt
Filed under: Salmonella enterica
Lineage: Bacteria; Pseudomonadati; Pseudomonadota; Gammaproteobacteria; Enterobacterales; Enterobacteriaceae
Description: bacterial SSU rRNA
Rfam family: Bacterial small subunit ribosomal RNA
Source: RNAcentral
UAAUUGAAGAGUUUGAUCAUGGCUCAGAUUGAACGCUGGCGGCAGGCCUAACACAUGCAAGUCGAACGGUAACAGGAAGCAGCUUGCUGCUUUGCUGACGAGUGGCGGACGGGUGAGUAAUGUCUGGGAAACUGCCUGAUGGAGGGGGAUAACUACUGGAAACGGUGGCUAAUACCGCAUAAUGUCUACGGACCAAAGCAGGGGCUCUUCGGACCUUGCACUAUCGGAUGAACCCAUAUGGGAUUAGCUAGUAGGUGGGGUAAAGGCUCACCUAGGCGACGAUCUCUAGCUGGUCUGAGAGGAUGAUCAGCCACACUGGGACUGAGACACGGCCCAGACUCCUACGGGAGGCAGCAGUGGGGAAUAUUGCACAAUGGGCGCAAGCCUGAUGCAGCCAUGCCGCGUGUAUGAAGAAGGCCUUAGGGUUGUAAAGUACUUUCAGCGGGGAGGAAGGUGAUAAGGUUAAUACCCUUGUCAAUUGACGUUACCCGCAGAAGAAGCACCGGCUAACUCCGU